This 407-nucleotide ribosomal RNA is filed under the name uncultured bacterium. RNAcentral's name for it is "partial 16S ribosomal RNA". It matches the Rfam family "Bacterial small subunit ribosomal RNA", at positions 30 to 526 of the family's 1533-position model. The record is from RNAcentral.
AUUGAACGCUGGCGGCAGGCCUAACACAUGCAAGUCGAGCGGAGCUGCGGACGGGUGAGUAAUGCCUAGGUAUCGGCCUGGUAGUGAGGGAUAAGGUCCGGAACCGGGCGCUAAUCCCGCAUAAUAUCAGCUGAGCCUAGGUCGGAUUAGCUAGUUGGUGGGGUAAAGUCCUACCAAGGCGACGAUCCGUAACUGAUCUGAGAGGAUGAUCAGUCACACUGGAACGGAGACACGGUCCAGACUCCUACGGGAGGCAGCAGGAGGGAAUAUUGGACAAUGGGCGAAAGCCUGAUCGAGCAAUGCCGCGUGUGUGAAGAAGGUCUUCGGAUUGUAAAGCACUUUAAUAUGGGAGGCGUUACCAACAGAGUAAGCACCGGCUAACUACGUGCCAGCCGCCGCGGUAAUAC